Molecule: ribosomal RNA, 465 nt
Filed under: uncultured bacterium
Lineage: Bacteria
Description: partial 16S ribosomal RNA
Rfam family: Bacterial small subunit ribosomal RNA
Source: RNAcentral
GAUGAACGCUGGCGGCGUGCUUAACACAUGCCAGUCGAACGGAAAGUCUCUUGCUUGCUGGGGUACUCGAGUGGCGAACGGGUGAGUAACACGUGGGUGAUCUGCCCUUUACUUCGGGAUACGUUUGGGAAACUGGGUCUAAUACCGGAUAGGACGAUUGCUUGGAUGUUAUUGUGGAAAGUUUUUCGGUGUGGGAUGAGGUCUGUGCCUAUCAGCUUGUUGGUGGGGUAAUGGCCUACCACGGCAUCGUCGGGUAGCCGGCCUGAGAGGGGGUACGGCCACAUUGGGACUGAGAUACGGCCCAGACUCCUACGGGAGGCAGCAGUGGGGAAUAUUGCACAAUGGGCGGAAGCCUGAUGCAGCGACGCCGCGUGGGGGAUGACGGCCUUCGGGUUGUAAACUACGUUCGCUAGGGACGAAGCGCGAGUGACGGUACCUGGAAAAGAAGCACCGGCUAACUACGUG